This 370-nucleotide ribosomal RNA is filed under the name uncultured eukaryote. RNAcentral describes it as "partial 18S ribosomal RNA". It matches the Rfam family "Eukaryotic small subunit ribosomal RNA", at positions 592 to 976 of the family's 1831-position model. The record is from RNAcentral.
CAAUAGCGUAUAUUAAAGUUGUUGCAGUUAAAAAGCUCGUAGUUGGAUUUCUGGUCGGAAGCUCCUGUCCUCUGAUGAGCGUACAAGUGCGUCCUACCAUCCUUCUGUUAACCUUUAAGGCUUUCGCGGCUUUCUAGGGGCUCAGAUAUUUUACCUUGAGAAAAUUAGAGUGUUUCAGGCAGGCUAGCGCCGGAAUACAUUAGCAUGGAAUAAUGGAAUAGGACUUUUGCCUCUUCUGUUGGUCAUGAGGCUCGAGUAAUGAUUAAUAGGGAUAGUUGGGGGCAUUAGUACUUAACUGUCAGAGGUGAAAUUCUCGGAUUUGUUAAAGACUAACUUCUGCGAAAGCAUUUGCCAAGGAUGUUUUCAUUAA